This is a long non-coding RNA of Homo sapiens (human), 336 nucleotides long. RefSeq lists it as uncharacterized. The transcript is spliced from 2 exons. The record is from RefSeq and is a predicted model, not a curated record. Lineage: Eukaryota; Metazoa; Chordata; Mammalia; Primates; Hominidae.
GGGGAUGUCGCCUAGCUCACGUGGGCAGGCACUGCUGGCAUCCUGGCCGGCUGCGUUUGCACUGCUUCUCCAAAACCACAUUAUAGGUACUAAACAACAUUGUUUAGUACCUAUAAUGUGCUAGACUCCUGGCUGCUAGCGAGAUCAGAGGGUCAGAAGUUUUAAGGAUCAUUACACAUGGUACUCUAUGGAAAGGAUUGCCAACGCUAUGGAAGAAAACCCCAACAAAGAUAGAAAACAUCAUGAAAGUAUACAAGGACUGCACCAUUGAAAAUUGUUACAGAAAAAGUGGUGAAAGAAACCAAGCCCAAAACAAUAAAUUCCUGCUAAAGAAAA